Molecule: non-coding RNA, 90 nt
Filed under: uncultured Acidovorax sp.
Lineage: Bacteria; Pseudomonadati; Pseudomonadota; Betaproteobacteria; Burkholderiales; Comamonadaceae
Description: S-adenosyl-L-homocysteine riboswitch
Rfam family: SAH (S-adenosyl-L-homocysteine) riboswitch aptamer
Source: RNAcentral
UUUCCGAGGAGCGUUGCAGCGCCCUGCGCACCGCACGGUGCGGACGGGGCGUGAGGCUCGGAUACCUGCAUUCGCAACGACGCUCACCCA